This 380-nucleotide ribosomal RNA is filed under the name uncultured bacterium. RNAcentral's name for it is "bacterial SSU rRNA". It matches the Rfam family "Bacterial small subunit ribosomal RNA", at positions 28 to 418 of the family's 1533-position model. The record is from RNAcentral.
GAUUAACGCUGGCGGCGUGCCUAACACAUGCAAGUCGAACGAGGUAGCAAUACCUAGUGGCAGACGGGUGAGUAACGCGUGGUCAACCUACCGUUGAGUGGGGGGAUAACUAGCCGAAAGGUUAGCUAAUACCGCAUACGUCUCCGAGGGGCAUCCCUUGGCGAUAAAAGGAGCAAUCCGCUCGAUGACGGGACCGCGUCCCAUUAGCUAGAUGGUGGGGUAACGGCCUACCAUGGCACCGAUGGGUAGCUGGUUUGAGAGAGCGACCAGCCACACUGGGACUGAGAAACGGCCAGACUCCUACGGGAGGCAGCAGUGAGGAAUUUUCCGCAAUGGGCGCAAGCCUGACGGAGCGACGCCGCGUGUGGGAAGAAGGCCUU